UGCUUCCUACGGGAGGCAGCAGUGAGGAAUAUUGGUCAAUGGCCGGAAGGCUGAACCAGCCAAGUCGCGUGAGGGACGACUGCCCUAUGGGUUGUAAACCUCUUUUAUAAGGGAAGAAUAAAUGCUACGUGUAGCAUGAUGCCUGUACCUUAUGAAUAAGCAUCGGCUAACUCCGUGCCAGCAGCCGCGGUAAUACGGAGGAUGCGAGCGUUAUCCGGAUUCAUUGGGUUUAAAGGGUGCGUAGGUUGUUUUAUAAGUUAGCGGUGAAAUACCGAUGCUCAACAUCGGGGCUGCCGCUAAUACUG
RNAcentral lists this ribosomal RNA (305 nucleotides) under uncultured bacterium. RNAcentral's name for it is "bacterial SSU rRNA". It matches the Rfam family "Bacterial small subunit ribosomal RNA", at positions 333 to 635 of the family's 1533-position model. The record is from RNAcentral.